UCGCUCAUAACUUCGUCAAAAAUGAUCUGAUUUACUUCAAACUAAGCUGAAAGUGAACCUUAUUCUAUUUGUCACUCAUAAUCUUACCCAUUCCUUUCGUGAAAAAUGCAUAUUUGUGAAGAUCGGUAGGGUCCGAAGACUUUAUGCCCUAAAUGGGCAGGAUUUGUUGUGCCUGGCACCACUUGUUUGAAAAAUGUAUUGGGCCCGAUGAUAUGUUCUCAUGGAUCAGGCAUUGAGUGGCAGAGGUAUGCCCCCAUUGAUAUUUAUGAAUUCGCUUUUUGAUGCUUGUGUUUCCUUUUUGAACACUUCCAUUGACUGGUCCAUCGUUUCACUGUUCCACAGAAACCCAGUGGAAAGAGCUUCUGAAACAAUUUAAGAUUUUCAAAAAGAAGUCCACAAAACAGAGUGUGCUUAUUGUUGAAGGACAUGAGGGGAGUACUUCAACCGUCCUGCAACAUAUUUGCAAUAAGUUGAAGGACAAAAAGGAGAACAAGGAGUUCUACAAAAAUCACAGGAUUGUCCCUCUGAAGCUGACUGACAAAACCGGCAACACAUUGAGGAAGAUGUACGAGAUGCUGCCCAAAAUAAACGAGGAAGGUUGUUCAAAUUCUCCAAUUGACAUUGCCAAAGCUCUUCUUGCAGAGGUUGUAAAAGCACCUGCAGUGUUUUUAAUUGACUCAGCCCACAACAUGGAUGACAUGUCGAUAGAUUUGCUGAAUAGAUUUUUGCUGACUACAAACCGGAGAAUCCUUCUCAUCUUGGCAAUGAGGCCAUUGCACUUGCAGUGCUCCUUGAACUUGCGAUUGUUUUCCACGAGUUCCAACACAAUGAGAGUUACCAUGAGCAAUCAAGGCAACAUAUUGAAUGAAGCAGUCGAAGGUCAGCCAAAGCGACGAAAUUAUGAAGAGUUUUGUAAUUCUCACCCCGAUGUCCUGGAGAAGUACGUGGUUGAAAUGGUUCCCAAAACGGUGCUAAAAAGGUGGCUUGGCCAAGACAGAAACCCAGUGGAAAGAGCUUCUCAAAAAAUUUAA
RNAcentral lists this long non-coding RNA (1031 nucleotides) under Eptatretus burgeri (inshore hagfish). RNAcentral's name for it is "lncRNA (ENSEBUG00000017400.1)". The record is from RNAcentral. Lineage: Eukaryota; Metazoa; Chordata; Myxini; Myxiniformes; Myxinidae.